Molecule: ribosomal RNA, 466 nt
Filed under: uncultured bacterium
Lineage: Bacteria
Description: partial 16S ribosomal RNA
Rfam family: Bacterial small subunit ribosomal RNA
Source: RNAcentral
GAUGAACGCUGGCGGCGUGCUUAACACAUGCAAGUCGAACGGAAAGGCCCAAGCUUGCUUGGGUACUCGAGUGGCGAACGGGUGAGUAACACGUGGGUGAUCUGCCCUGCACUUCGGGAUAAGCCUGGGAAACUGGGUCUAAUACCGGAUAGGACCACAUUUUGGAUGGUGUGGUGGAAAGUUUUUCGGUGUGGGAUGAGCUCGCGGCCUAUCAGCUUGUUGGUGGGGUAAUGGCCUACCAAGGCGUCGACGGGUAGCCGGCCUGAGAGGGUGUACGGCCACAUUGGGACUGAGAUACGGCCCAGACUCCUACGGGAGGCAGCAGUGGGGAAUAUUGCACAAUGGGCGCAGGCCUGAUGCAGCGACGCCGCGUGGGGGAUGACGGCCUUCGGGUUGUAAACUCCUUUCGCUAGGGACGAAGCGUUUUUGUGACGGUACCUGGAGAAGAAGCACCGGCUAACUACGU